Molecule: long non-coding RNA, 1473 nt
Filed under: Equus caballus (horse)
Lineage: Eukaryota; Metazoa; Chordata; Mammalia; Perissodactyla; Equidae
Description: lncRNA (ENSECAG00000044492.1)
Source: RNAcentral
CCCUGACAAUGGUGAUCAUAAUUGGUACAGUGGCAGCGACACUACACAAACAGGACCUAUCAGAGUCCUUCUCUACAUUUAUAUUCAGGACAUACCGUGUGUAUUUGAUAUUCAUUGAGAGAACUUGCUUUUUCCACUGUUCUUGCUGAGCAAGGAUCAUACAAGCCUGGCUGAGUGUAAAAAGCCUGACUGUAAUGAGAAAAAAUGAGAGCAAAGAAAAGAGAGAGGAAACGUUACUUAAAUACCUGAUUCUAUCCACGUCCCAUGCCUACUCCUGGUUUCCCAGUUAGAUGAGCCGGUAUAUUUCUUCUCUUUCAGCUUAACCUAGCUUGAGUUUGAUUUCUGUCACUUGCACCCAAGAAUCUGGACUUAUACAAGAGUCCCUUUGUGUCCUUUGUCGACCAGAUUCUGCCGGAACCCAGGCUCAGAGUUGCUUUCAUUCUCCACGUGCACUUUGCUGAUCCUUUUCUCAUCAAAGGGAAGGCAGGAUUUGUUAUCAUCAAACCUCCCACGGCCCAGGCAUAUGCUUCCUUGAUCUCUCUUCCAGGUUUUCCUAGCUAAAAACCUCAGUUUUCUUAUCUCUAAAAUGAGAAGAGCUGCUGUGAAAUCAUUUCGUACAGUAUCUAACGCUGUUUGGCUGUUUGCAGGUGCUUGGCGAUGUUAGCUCCCAGCAUGGAAAAUUCUCUCUGUGGUGCCUGAAUUUUCAAAUGACCAUCACUUGCGCUUCCAUUCAGCAGUUAGAGUGUCAGCCCAGGAGGACAGAAAGUCAGGGCGAUGUUCGUGGUCCUGCGACUACAGUAUUUAUUGUGGUCAUUUCAGACACUGGCAGCACGAGGGGCGUAAAUGGUUGGGCGUUUACUUCUUAAUUGGUUUCAGGCCCUGGCUCACCCCAUGUCCAUUCCCAUUAAUCAGUAACUGGAGACAGCCGUCUACCAGGGGUUUUUAUGGUGUUUUAAUGCCAUUUUAUUUUCCUAAAAUGUCAGUUCAACAGCCAAGGAAACCUACUCCCACAGUCCUUGGAGGUUGUUUCGAACUGAAAUCACCACCACCAUGGUCGGCUGAGCGCUAAAUGAAAAAGAGCGUUACAGGUCAAAUUAAUAUUUUAGGGAAGAAAAUGUGCAAACCUGCGCUGGCAUGCCCGCCAGCGUGAUCUCGGGCCUUAGCCACAAAGCCACAGAGUGACAACUGAAAGGCUGGAGCCACUCAAGGCCAUCAGUUAGGGCGCUGAAAUCCAAGAGAGGGGGAGAAAGGAUAACGGUGAAUGGGUCUCUCUUCAUCAACUGUGGUGGACUGGAGGGCAAGAGAAGACGGGACGGAUGACAUUUUUAAAUGGAUUCAUUUUGUGAGAGGACCGCUGAAUGAAAAGCAGUGGAUUGGGCCUUACUAGAAACCACAAGUGAAGCCUUAAGAAAAAAAUAAGAUAUUGUGGAUGAAUGAUGAUGAGAGAGAAAGCAACUUGACAGCAGCAGGUUA